UACGUAGGUGGCAAGCGUUGUCCGGAAUUAUUGGGCGUAAAGCGCACGCAGGUGGUUUAAUAAGUCUGAUGUAAAAGCCCACGGCUCAACCGUGGAAGGGCAUUGGAAACUGUUAAACUGGAGUGCAGGAGAGAAAAGUGGAAUUCCUAGUGUAGCGGUGAAAUGCGUAGAGAUUAGGAGGAACACCGGUGGCGAAGGCGGCUUUUUGGCCUGAAACUGACGCUGAGGCGCGAAAGCGUGGGGAGCGAACAGG
Molecule: ribosomal RNA, 253 nt
Filed under: uncultured bacterium
Lineage: Bacteria
Description: partial 16S ribosomal RNA
Rfam family: Bacterial small subunit ribosomal RNA
Source: RNAcentral